AGGACAUCGAGGGGAUGGGGACACUUCUGGACAUUUGGGGACAUUCAGGGACAUUUGGGGACAUCUGGGAACCCCAGGACAUCCGGGACAUGGGGACGUUUGGGGACAUCUGAGGACAUUUGGGGACAUCUGGGGCCUCUGGGUCUUGGGGAUAUGGGGACAUCAGGGACAUUUGGGGACAUUUUGGGGACAGCCCUCAGUUUGGGGA
This 208-nucleotide long non-coding RNA is filed under the name Phasianus colchicus (ring-necked pheasant). RNAcentral's name for it is "lncRNA (ENSPCLG00000015320.1)". The record is from RNAcentral. Lineage: Eukaryota; Metazoa; Chordata; Aves; Galliformes; Phasianidae.